This 253-nucleotide ribosomal RNA is filed under the name uncultured bacterium. Its description in RNAcentral is "partial 16S ribosomal RNA". It matches the Rfam family "Bacterial small subunit ribosomal RNA", at positions 524 to 776 of the family's 1533-position model. The record is from RNAcentral.
UACGUAGGGUGCAAGCGUUGUCCGGAAUUAUUGGGCGUAAAGAGCUCGUAGGCGGUUCGUCGCGUCGGCUGUGAAAUCCCGAGGCUCAACCUCGGGUCUGCAGUCGAUACGGGCGGACUGGAGUUCGGCAGGGGAGACUGGAAUUCCUGGUGUAGCGGUGAAAUGCGCAGAUAUCAGGAGGAACACCGGUGGCGAAGGCGGGUCUCUGGGCCGUAACUGACGCUGAGGAGCGAAAGCAUGGGGAGCGAACAGG